Molecule: ribosomal RNA, 484 nt
Filed under: uncultured bacterium
Lineage: Bacteria
Description: partial 16S ribosomal RNA
Rfam family: Bacterial small subunit ribosomal RNA
Source: RNAcentral
AUUGAACGCUGGCGGCAGGCCUAACACAUGCAAGUCGAGCGGAUGAAGGGAGCUUGCUCCUGGAUUCAGCGGCGGACGGGUGAGUAAUGCCGGGAAACAUCCGGGUCUAGGGGGACGAAGGGCGGAAAGGGGGGCCACUUACGCCAAAACCCCGUAGGAGAAAGGGGGGGAAGCUUGGGACCUCCGGCUCUCGCGUGAUCGUAGGUCGGAUUAGCUAGUUGGGGGGGUAAAGGCCUACCAAGGCGACAAUCCGUAACUGGUCUGAGAGGAUGAUCAGUCACACUGGAACUGAGACACGGUCCAGACUCCUACGGGAGGCAGCAGUGGGGAAUAUUGGACAAUGGGCGAAAGCCUGAUCCAGCCAUGCCGCGUGUGUGAAGAAGGUCUUCGGAUUGUAAAGCACUUUAAGUUGGGAGGAAGGGCAGUAAGUUAAUACCUUGCUGUUUUGACGUUACCAACAGAAUAAGCACCGGCUAACUUCGUG